UGGCGGCGUGACCUAACACAUGCAAGUCGAACGGUAACUUUUUUAAAAGAUUUCUUCGGAAUGAAUUUGAUUAAGUUUAGUGGCGGACGGGUGAGUAACGCGUGAGUAACCUGCCUCUAAGAGGGGAAUAACAUUCUGAAAAGAAUGCUAAUACCGCAUAACAUAUAUUUAUCGCAUGGUAGAUAUAUCAAAGAUUUAUCGCUUAGAGAUGGACUCGCGUCCGAUUAGUUAGUUGGUGAGGUAACGGCUCACCAAGACCGCGAUCGGUAGCCGGACUGAGAGGUUGAACGGCCACAUUGGGACUGAGACACGGCCCAGACUCCUACGGGAGGCAGCAGUGGGGGAUAUUGCGCAAUGGGGGAAACCCUGACGCAGCAACGCCGCGUGAAGGAUGAAGGUCUUCGGAUUGUAAACUUCUUUUAUUAAGGACGAAGAAAGUGACGGUACUUAAUGAAUAAGCUCCGGCUAACUACGUG
Molecule: ribosomal RNA, 476 nt
Filed under: uncultured bacterium
Lineage: Bacteria
Description: bacterial SSU rRNA
Rfam family: Bacterial small subunit ribosomal RNA
Source: RNAcentral